GUUUUUAGCUUUAAAUUUUAUUUGGACAUGUGGCACUCUCUUAGGUGUUGAUGUGUCACUCAUUAGAAGUUGAAGAGCUUACAUUAAUUAUUUAAUAGACACAUGGCAAAUAGCUUUAUAUGAAAGUUGGCCAACUCUCUCCAUAUGGUUGCCACAUCAUCACUUUAGCAUUUGUCAUGUGUCUAUUAAAUAAUUAAUGUAAGCUCUUCAACUUCUAAUUUAUAGGUUAAUGAUAUAUUUAUUAUUU
Molecule: small RNA, 247 nt
Filed under: Arabidopsis thaliana (thale cress)
Lineage: Eukaryota; Viridiplantae; Streptophyta; Magnoliopsida; Brassicales; Brassicaceae
Description: ATSL169450
Source: RNAcentral